GAUUAACGCUGGCGGCGUGCAUAACACAUGCAAGUCGAACGAUGAAACUUAAAUGAUUUCUUCGGAAUGAACUUAAGUGGAUUAGUGGCGGACGGGUGAGUAACGCGUGAGUAACCUGCCUUACACAAGGGGAUAGCCGUUGGAAACGACGAAUAAUACCCUAUGAAACUAUCACUUCGCAUGAAGCGAUAGUCAAAGUGUUAGCGGUGUAAGAUGGACUUGCGUCUGAUUAGCUAGUUGGUGAGAAAAAAGCCCACCAAGGCAACGAUCAGUAGCCGGCUUGAGAGAGUGUACGGCCACAUUGGGACUGAGGCACGGCCCAGACUCCUACGGGAGGCAGAAGUGGGGAAUUUUGCACAAUGGGGGAAACCCUGAUGCAGCGACGCCGCGUGAUUUAGAAGGCCUUCGGGUUGUAAAAAUCUUUUGUAUAGGAAGAAAAUGACAGUACUAUACGAAUAAGGUCCGGCUAAUUACGUG
Molecule: ribosomal RNA, 477 nt
Filed under: uncultured bacterium
Lineage: Bacteria
Description: partial 16S ribosomal RNA
Rfam family: Bacterial small subunit ribosomal RNA
Source: RNAcentral